AAAUUGUCAAUACUAAAAUUUUAGUUUGCUAUGUCCAAUAACACCGAUUUAUGAAAUUGUUAUCAAUUAUGCAGUUUAUUGUUAUCAACUAUCAGUGAGUACAACAUACAAUCACUAUGAAAAAAUAUUCUUCAUAUAUUGGUAUACUACGUAUUGUAUAUUGAAUAGCAUAUUUUUUUGCCUGGAAGAAAAAAAAAAUGGAUAAAUGAUAAGUUUAUGAUGAAGAAAAUUACCAUGAGUGAAACAAAAAGAACGAACACCGUGAGAAUUAAUAUAGGAGCAAUCGAAGUCUUCAUUCUCGGAAAUAUCGUUCUUGCUUAACGGUCGAACAAUAGUGAUAUAGAAGAA
RNAcentral lists this long non-coding RNA (348 nucleotides) under Erythranthe guttata (spotted monkey flower). RNAcentral's name for it is "long non-coding RNA (EGUT_LNC001919)". Lineage: Eukaryota; Viridiplantae; Streptophyta; Magnoliopsida; Lamiales; Phrymaceae. The record is from RNAcentral.